GACGAACGCUGGCGGCGUGCUUAACACAUGCAAGUCGAACGGACAGGCCCUGCUUUUGUGGGGUGCUCGAGUGGCGAACGGGUGAGUAACACGUGAGUAACCUGCCCUUGACUUUGGGAUAACUUCAGGAAACUGGGGCUAAUACCGGAUAGGAGCUCCUGCUGCAUGGUGGGGGUUGGAAAGUUUCGGCGGUUGUGGAUGGACUCGCGGCUUAUCAGCUUGUUGGUGUGGUAGUGGCUUACCAAGGCUUUGACGGGUAGCCGGCCUGAGAGGGUGACCGGCCACAUUGGGACUGCGAGACGGCCCAGACUCCUACGGGAGGCAGCAGUGGGGAAUAUUGCACAAUGGGCGGAAGCCUGAUGCAGCAACGCCGCGUGCGGGAUGACGGCCUUCGGGUUGUAAACCGCUUUCGCCUGUGACGAGGCGAGAGUGACGGUAAUGGGUAAAGAAGCACCGGCUAACUACGUG
Molecule: ribosomal RNA, 468 nt
Filed under: uncultured bacterium
Lineage: Bacteria
Description: partial 16S ribosomal RNA
Rfam family: Bacterial small subunit ribosomal RNA
Source: RNAcentral